GAUGAACGCUAGCGGGAGGCUUAAUACAUGCAAGUCGAACGGUAACAUUUGCUUCGGCAAGAUGACGAGUGGCGCACGGGUGAGUAACGCGUACACAACCUACCUAUAAGAGGUGAAUACCCUUUGGAAACGAAGAUUAAUACACCAUAGAAUUACAAUUUAGAUUAGAUAGUAAUUAAAGUUUCGGCGCUUAUAGAUGGGUGUGCGUACUAUUAGCUAGUUGGUAAGGUAACGGCUUACCAAGGCGACGAUAGUUAGGGGGCGUGAGAGCGUGAACCCCCACACGGGUACUGAGACACGGACCCGACUCCUACGGGAGGCAGCAGUAAGGAAUAUUGGACAAUGGAGGGAACUCUGAUCCAGCCAUCCCGCGUGUAGGAAGACUGCCCUAUGGGUUGUAAACUACUUUUAGAUAGGAAGAAUAGCAUUGAUUUAUCAAUGUAUGACGGUACUAUCAGAAUAAGCACCGGCUAACUCCG
RNAcentral lists this ribosomal RNA (479 nucleotides) under uncultured Saprospiraceae bacterium. RNAcentral's name for it is "bacterial SSU rRNA". It matches the Rfam family "Bacterial small subunit ribosomal RNA", at positions 28 to 505 of the family's 1533-position model. Lineage: Bacteria; Pseudomonadati; Bacteroidota; Saprospiria; Saprospirales; Saprospiraceae. The record is from RNAcentral.